CUCAACUCCCGGAUCUGCGGUGGGUACGGGCAGACUAGAGUGAUGUAGGGGAGACUGGAAUUCCUGGUGUAGCGGUGAAAUGCGCAGAUAUCAGGAGGAACACCGAUGGCGAAGGCAGGUCUCUGGGCAUUAACUGACGCUGAGGAGCGAAAGCAUGGGGAGCGAACAGGAUUAGAUACCCUGGUAGUCCAUGCCGUAAACGUUGGGCACUAGGUGUGGGGGACAUUCCACGUUUUCCGCGCCGUAGCUAACGCAUUAAGUGCCCCGCCUGGGGAGUACGGCCGCAAGGCUAAAACUCAAAGGAAUUGACGGGGGCCCGCACAAGCGGCGGAGCAUGCGGAUUAAUUCGAUGCAACGCGAAGAACCUUACCAAGGCUUGACAUGAACCGGUAACGCCUGGAGACAGGUGCCCCGCUUGCGGUCGGUUUACAGGUGGUGCAUGGUUGUCGUCAGCUCGUGUCGUGAGAUGUUGGGUUAAGUCCCGCAACGAGCGCAACCCUCGUUCUAUGUUGCCAGCACGUGAUGGUGGGGACUCAUAGGAGACUGCCGGGGUCAACUCGGAGGAAGGUGGGGACGACGUCAAAUCAUCAUGCCCCUUAUGUCUUGGGCUUCACGCAUGCUACAAUGGCC
This 630-nucleotide ribosomal RNA is filed under the name Pseudarthrobacter phenanthrenivorans. RNAcentral's name for it is "bacterial SSU rRNA". It matches the Rfam family "Bacterial small subunit ribosomal RNA", at positions 608 to 1235 of the family's 1533-position model. Lineage: Bacteria; Bacillati; Actinomycetota; Actinomycetes; Micrococcales; Micrococcaceae. The record is from RNAcentral.